Molecule: regulatory RNA element, 46 nt
Organism: Culex pipiens (northern house mosquito)
Lineage: Eukaryota; Metazoa; Arthropoda; Insecta; Diptera; Culicidae
Rfam family: Histone 3' UTR stem-loop
About the family: The mRNAs of metazoan histone genes lack a poly-A tail. 3' end processing occurs at a site between a highly conserved stem-loop (modelled by this family) and a purine rich region around 20 nts downstream (the histone downstream element, or HDE). The stem-loop is bound by a 31 kDa stem-loop binding protein (SLBP - also termed the histone hairpin binding protein, or HBP).
Source: Rfam
CAAACGGCCCUUUUCAGGGCCACCAAAAUUCUCACGUAAGAGUUGU